This is a long non-coding RNA of Pygocentrus nattereri (red-bellied piranha), 1578 nucleotides long. NCBI's taxonomy places the organism in Eukaryota, Metazoa, Chordata, Actinopteri, Characiformes, Serrasalmidae. The record is from Ensembl.
AGCAGAGCCUGGCCACUGGUAGAUCUGAAACUGACAGUACUGCAGGUAACUUUUGAUCUCUUGAUAUAAUUUGAACAAAAUCUGUUUCACAGUUACUGUACUUUACCUUUAAUGCAUGAUAACUCCAUUUCUACUCUUCUCAGGUACACAAAUCAAUUCUGGCACCCAAAUCCAAGGUGAUAACGUGACGAUUAAUGUAAGUGAUGGCGCCAGUUACUAUGGCCCCAUCAUACGUAACUCAACAAUGCAGAGCAGCGAAAUGAAUGCGAAUAUUGGGUCCAACAAAAAUAAGGAGGACACCAACAGCACUGCAGAUAAUCAGGAGUCUGAGGAAGAUCCAAAGUGACUCUAAUGACAUAGAAAACACUGUUAGAACCAUCAGAGACCUCAGCCUGCACAAGUCUGCACAUAGAGCCACACAACGCUCUACUGUUUACUACCAACCACUUCAGGUCACAUAUUGUAUACAGGCCAGUCAUACCUCCACACUCAGGUUUGUUUACAAUAAAAGUACUUUAGUGUGUGUUUUACAUUAUAUUGUUUUCCCUGUGUAACAUUCCCUUCAGGCUCCUGAUCAUUCCAGUGAUUGUUGAUUGUCUAUUCGCUCUGUCUUUUUUUUCUACUUUUUCUGAUGAAUUUUGGUCUUAAAGUCUUAAUAGCAUUUGAAUUCAUAACGUGGACUCUUUUUAUAUUCUUAUAAUGUAUUGCAUGCAUUGAGAGUGCGGUGGUGGGGCCACAGGGGGGGGUUUGUAAUUGUGACUACAAUAAAGAAACGCUUUGUCUUUGUACUCAUCACAUUGAGAAAUGACUAAGUUUUCAUUAUUUUCCCUGUUUCCAUUCAAGAUUAACACAAACACGUUAUGAUUAACUUUAACAACAUUACUGUUAAUAUGAGCAGAGAAGUAAAGUAAAGUAAUUUUCCCUGUAUUUAAUCCACUAUUCUGGAAGAAUUUUGACUGAGAAUUGACAGUGUAGUGUAGACUGGGUGCUUAAGCUAGCUUAAGUUGACAUAAUUUUGGUGUAUUAAUUAAUUCUAACAAAAUAAAAUAAUCCCCCUUCACAGUAAAACAAAGCUCUGCUGAUCGUUCAAGACAGUUUAACAGUAAAUACACAAAAUUCCUGUUUUACAAAAAUUCCAGGUAGUAAUUUUAAUCCCUCAUUAAAAUGUUCCCAAUGACAUAAAAUGUUGUGAACGCAACCAGCAGAUGGCGUAGAUCUUCACUUUCUCUCUCCACAGCAGUGUCUGUGGCGCCAUCUAGUGGUCAUUUAAAUAGUUGCGGCUUCCUGAAAUCGAAAGUGAAAGCAGCUGGACUGGCACAGCUCGGUUCGACAGAGGGGGGUUGGUGGUGGAAAUAAGGUCCGUCCAGUAAGUUUUACAGUCUGUUUAAAAUCCAGUAUGAUAAUUAGAUAAGCUGCACUGAAGCUGAGACAUUUCUAAUAGACUGCUUCAGGAAACUAGUCUACUGUAGACAGAGAGACAGGCAGACAGGCAGACAGACAGAGAGACUGUGUGCUACAGUUGUUGUCAUUUUGCUGAAUUCAGCCCUAAACGUGUGGGGAAAACACCCAACUCUCUCU